RNAcentral lists this ribosomal RNA (497 nucleotides) under uncultured bacterium. RNAcentral's name for it is "partial 16S ribosomal RNA". It matches the Rfam family "Bacterial small subunit ribosomal RNA", at positions 28 to 507 of the family's 1533-position model. The record is from RNAcentral.
GAUGAACGCUGGCGGCGUGCCUAAUACAUGCAAGUCGAGCGAACGGACGAGAAGCUUGCUUCUCUGAUGUUAGCGGCGGACGGGUGAGUAACACGUGGAUAACCUACCUAUAAGACUGGGAUAACUUCGGGAAACCGGAGCUAAUACCGGAUAAUAUUUUGAACCGCAUGGUUCGAAAGUGAAAGACGGUCUUGCUGUCACUUAUAGAUGGAUCCGCGCUGCAUUAGCUAGUUGGUAAGGUAACGGCUUACCAAGGCAACGAUGCAUAGCCGACCUGAGAGGGUGAUCGGCCACACUGGAACUGAGACACGGUCCAGACUCCUACGGGAGGCAGCAGUAGGGAAUCUUCCGCAAAGGGCGAAAGCCUGACGGAGCAACGCCGCGUGAGUGAUGAAGGUCUUCGGAUCGUAAAACUCUGUUAUUAGGGAAGAACAUAUGUGUAAGUAACUGUGCACAUCUUGACGGUACCUAAUCAGAAAGCCACGGCUAACUACGUG